This 874-nucleotide long non-coding RNA is filed under the name Vulpes vulpes (red fox). Its description in RNAcentral is "lncRNA (ENSVVUG00000001992.1)". The record is from RNAcentral. Lineage: Eukaryota; Metazoa; Chordata; Mammalia; Carnivora; Canidae.
AUCUGCUCACAUUACCUAGGAAAUUCCAAGGGGUUUAGGAGCCGGGUGACAGGAACAGAGAUGAACGCUAAACAUGUAUUUCUUAUGAGUCACAGUAUCACACAAAGCUUGGUGGAGAAAGGAUGGGUAUGGGGGGGGGGCAGUUAGGGACCCCCAUAGAAGAGGACUGGGAAGGAAUGAGGUCAGGAUUAGUGGAGCCAGAGAGAUCCUGUGUGACUGGCCAGGAGGCCUGGCCCCUAUCGGGAAACCAUAGAUAAAAGAGCUUCAGUGACAGGAGAGGCUCCAAAGUGACCACAGACUCCCCCACAAAGGGAACCUGGCUCCGCAGGCGGCUGGACCUGCAGGCACUGAUGCAACACACAACUGUGACAUGCCAGGCAGGCUGUCCCCUGCUCUCCCCCUCCCCCUGCCCCCCAGGAACAGCCGCCCCUCUCCUAGAAGGGGGAAGGGGAUGGAGGGUGAAGCCAGAGAACUAGACUCUUCCUCUGUGCCUGCAACUUCCUCUGCCUAACUGGAAGAGGGAGAUGCUUUCAACUGAAUGGAGCUUGGAGUUGUGAUAUCCCACUGGCAAGGUGUUAUAUGGAUACAUUACAAAAUUCAGAGAACAAAAGGAUGGAAAGCUUUCUCACUGCAAGUGAAACAUCAAGCCUCUUUCUCUCCCCUUUCCCACCCAACUAACUCCUUGACUAUUACAACAUGACUACUACUACAACCCCUUGAUGAGGUACUUUUGUAAACUUCUCCCCUUUCAUUCUUGGUGGGUAGAAUAUGAAUUACUACUGUCUACAGACGAGGAAAUUGAGGUUUGAAUGUGUUUCUCAUCCAAGGUUUCAUGCCCAAUAAACAGAAGAACCAAAACUAAACCUGUAUUUUU